RNAcentral lists this ribosomal RNA (327 nucleotides) under Triticum aestivum (bread wheat). Its description in RNAcentral is "partial small subunit ribosomal RNA". Lineage: Eukaryota; Viridiplantae; Streptophyta; Magnoliopsida; Poales; Poaceae. The record is from RNAcentral.
AUGAUCUGGCCCAUUAUUGCGUCUCCAUUCUAUUCAUUGCUUCGUCUCCGUUUUGCUUGUCAAGGCCUCGGCCAAAGGUGGAGAAGACAGACCCCAGGAAGGAUUUUGCGCUGCCGUCUUCUUUCGCCGGAAUUGUAUGGGAAUGAAGCAAAAAGCAUGAAGAAAAUAGAGCAGGUCGUGUGUCAUCGUGCACGUAGUCUGCCUUCCAUUGGCGUUAUUGCACCUGGUUAUCUACAGAGGAAGGCAAGGAUAACUAGAUUAAACAUUUCACAAGACCCUCCCAAUUACAGGCACAAACUCCUUCCAAGAUAUUACAAGUGUGGUUGA